GGCGAACGGGUGAGUAACACGUGGGGUAACCUGCCCAUCAGAGGGGGAUAACAUCCGGAAACGGAUGCUAAAACCGCAUAGGUCUUCGAACCGCAUGGUUUGAAGAGGAAAAGAGGCGCAAGCUUCUGCUGAUGGAUGGACCCGCGGUGCAUUANCUAGUUGGUGAGGUAACGGCUCACCAAGGCCGUGAUGCAUAGCCGACCUGANAGGGUGAUCGGCCACAUUGGGACUGAGACACNGNCCANACUCCUACCGGAGGCAGCANUAGGGAAU
RNAcentral lists this ribosomal RNA (273 nucleotides) under uncultured bacterium. Its description in RNAcentral is "partial 16S ribosomal RNA". It matches the Rfam family "Bacterial small subunit ribosomal RNA", at positions 97 to 362 of the family's 1533-position model. The record is from RNAcentral.